UUCACUAUCUUCACCGUUUUUGGGUUUUCUUCUAUUUCUAUAUCUCUCCCUCUCGAUCCGAUCUAGACCCUCGUUCACCAAAACGACCGGAGAAACUGCAUCUACCGUGUUCUCGACAACCAUAGAAGCCUUUCGUUCCCGUGCAUCAUCUCUGUUAGCCUAUUGUGAACUGACAUGCAGAAUGGAUGGACAAUGUCUGAUCCCUAGCAUCGAAUAAAAGAUUGGGCAGGCAUUAUAUUACACUUUGCCAAGGAGAAUGGCUUAGAGUACAACGUGAUGACCGUUGAGGAGAUUCGUACAGGAAUUGAAUCACGGGGAACAGUUUUAUGUUUUCCAACCACCCAUACAAUAAACAAGCAAGUUGAUGAGUAAAGUUCUUUAUGUUAAGCUCAUGUAUUGCAUACAAGAAACAAGCAAGUUGAUGAGAUGAGUUGCCUUACAGGACCUGCAGUAGUGAUUCAGUGAAAUUGGUACAAACAAUUUAAGAGUUUUGUUAAGCGUUCAUGAGUAUCCAACUACAGAGACAAGAGAACACACUCCCUGAAAUGUGUUGUUAACAAAGCCACUUACAUAGCUGCUGAAAUUGUCGCAACAAGUUCGUCCAGCCCUACUCCCGCAGUUAAGUUAUCCCACCCAACAACACCAGCCCAGAAACCUCAGAAAAGAGGCACUUGCAGAUUCAGAGCCGCAACCGAAAAGGCCAGCUAAAAGCGGAAUGGCGGACUAAAACUUAAAUCGGUGAAGACGUCCCUUUUGUCCACCUAAAAGAAGAAGCAACGGUGGGAUAGCAGUCCAGAACCAGAAUCGCUAAAGUCAUUUCUUUUGAACUAAUCAUACUUGAAACUCACAUCUACGACUGCCUAAUGACUAGAAGUUGUAUGCCUAGACGAUGCUUGCAGUUGUAUCUGAAUGAAUCUAACUUGUAAUGUCGCGCAACGUGCAACAUCAAAUACCCCUAGUUAGUUUAAUUAAGAAUCUUAAUUUGUUC
Molecule: long non-coding RNA, 988 nt
Filed under: Helianthus annuus (common sunflower)
Lineage: Eukaryota; Viridiplantae; Streptophyta; Magnoliopsida; Asterales; Asteraceae
Description: hypothetical non coding rna
Source: RNAcentral